Molecule: ribosomal RNA, 351 nt
Filed under: uncultured bacterium
Lineage: Bacteria
Description: bacterial SSU rRNA
Rfam family: Bacterial small subunit ribosomal RNA
Source: RNAcentral
AGAGUUUGAUCCUGGCUCAGGAUGAACGCUAGCUACAGGCUUAACACAUGCAAGUCGAGGGGAAACGAUAUUGGAAGCUUGCUUCCGAUAGGCGUCGACCGGCGUACGGGUGAGUAACGCGUAUCCAACCUGCCCACCACUUGGGGAUAACCUUGCGAAAGUAAGACUAAUACCCAAUGACGUCUCUAGAAGACAUCUGAAAGAGAUUAAAGAUUUAUCGGUGAUGGAUGGGGAUGCGUCUGAUUAGCUUGUUGGCGGGGUAACGGCCACAAGGCGACGAUCAGUAGGGGUUCUGAGAGGAACGGCCCCCCACAUUGGAACUGAGACACGGUCCAAACUCCUACGGGAGCA